Molecule: ribosomal RNA, 497 nt
Filed under: uncultured bacterium
Lineage: Bacteria
Description: partial 16S ribosomal RNA
Rfam family: Bacterial small subunit ribosomal RNA
Source: RNAcentral
GACGAACGCUGGCGGCGUGCCUAAUACAUGCAAGUAGAACGCUUAAGAGAGGAGCUUGCUCUUCUUGGCUGAGUUGCGAACGGGUGAGUAACGCGUAGGUCACCUUCCUUUUAGCGGGGGAUAACUAUUGGAAACGAUAUCUAAUACCGCAUAACAAUGGCUGACACAUGUCAUUUAUUUGAAAGGGGCAAUUGUUCCACUACAAGAUGGACCUGCGUUGUAUUAGCUAGUAGGUGAGGUAAUGGCUCACCUAGGCGACGGUACCGAGCCGACCUGAGAGGGUGAUAGGCCACACUGGGACUGAGACACGGCCCAGACUCCUACGGGAGGCAGCAGGAGGGAAUCGUCGGCAAUGGGGGCAACCCUGAACGAGCAACGCCGCGUGAGUGAAGAAGGUUUUCGGAUCGUAAAGCUCGGUUGUAAGUCAAGAACGGGUGUGAGAGUGGAAAGUUCACACUGUGACGGUAGCUUACCAGAAAGGGACGGCUAACUACGUG